CCCAAAGCUAAUAAAAAAGGAAAUAAUCUACUUAAAACGAUUUAAUCUUCUCACGGUGGUUUAAAGGAGUGUAACUUGUGUGACACAGUUGGCGAAGUAUUGAUAGAUUCAGCUGCAUCAAUUUCUAACCCUCAAACUUUGCAGGCUUCAAAAUGGGACUUUAGGCUGGAAGAACAGCUAACUGCCUCCCACUAACUGGAUUAACAGCAGGACCAAUCUUCCCUUGGGUUUGUUGGCACCAAUGGUACUCUAGAAAUCUGUUGUUCGAGAACAGAACUAUCACAGAGGAUGAAACAGCCAUCAAAGCAAUAGUUGCAGCAAGAGAUUGGCAAUUUGCCCAAGCCACAGAGAAAUGAGAGCUCACCUGCAGAAAUGGUAAUUCAAGGCCCCAACCUCCAAGGAACACAAUUAAUGUCUUCUUGAACUCCUCAUGGCGUUCAGAUCUCAAGGCUGCAGGAUCAGA
Molecule: long non-coding RNA, 463 nt
Filed under: Eutrema salsugineum
Lineage: Eukaryota; Viridiplantae; Streptophyta; Magnoliopsida; Brassicales; Brassicaceae
Description: long non-coding RNA (ESAL_LNC001350)
Source: RNAcentral